GCUGAUGAAUGGAAGAGGCAGGAAUCAAACCUACAUCUCUCUGGCUCCAAAGCCCUUACUGUUUGCUGAGGAUGGCAGUCAAGAAAUGAUCUACUAGAGUCAAGGUCAUAUAGCAUAUAGAUGAUCCAGAAUCAGCACAAUUUGGGGAGAAGAAAAAGAAUCAGCUCAUCUGGCUCCUUCUACUCACUCUGAUCCUCCUGCCUCCCUCUUAUAAAGACCCUUGUGAUGGCGUGAGGAGUGCCAGAGGCCAGGCAGCCCAGCUUUGUGAAUGCUCCGUGUGCCGCAGCCUGAAGGCACCCAGCCUGUGCCCUACCUGCUGCCAAGAUGCCCCAGGGGAAGUGAUAUCCACUGACCUACAGGUGGCAUUCUGUGUAACACACAUGUGCUGGUGAUUAUUGCGAAAGAAAGUAAAGAGGGAGAAGGGUCAUGAAGGACGGAUGAGGCGAAGCACUUCAGACUUUAUCAAGAAAUGGAAACUGGAACCUAGCUUUUUAUGCACUGGAAAUAAUUCUUGGUCUCAUGUGAUUUGGAGCUUCACAAGCAGUUUUUCCGAGGCCUAAGAAAAUGUGGCUGAAUAAAAGAUUCCUACAUCUGCAGAACUGAGAUACAUUCUGGUCUUUUGAUGCCCCUCAGGAAUGCCCUAUUUAACCCCAAAUGAACUGUUAUUAACUGGCAUGGCAGAUAAUACACAUGUGAAUAUUC
This 702-nucleotide long non-coding RNA is filed under the name Equus caballus (horse). RNAcentral's name for it is "lncRNA (ENSECAG00000052584.1)". Lineage: Eukaryota; Metazoa; Chordata; Mammalia; Perissodactyla; Equidae. The record is from RNAcentral.